RNAcentral lists this ribosomal RNA (844 nucleotides) under Torula sp. RNAcentral's name for it is "partial large subunit ribosomal RNA". It matches the Rfam family "Eukaryotic large subunit ribosomal RNA", at positions 58 to 919 of the family's 3401-position model. The record is from RNAcentral. RNAcentral also lists the same sequence under 1 other name. Lineage: Eukaryota; Fungi; Ascomycota; Dothideomycetes; Pleosporales; Torulaceae.
AAAGAACCAACAGGGAUUGCCCUAGUAACGGCGAGUGAAGCGGCAACAGCUCAAAUUUGAAAUCUGGCCCCCUCGGGGUCCGAGUUGUAAUUUGCAGAGGGAGCUUUUGGCGUCGGUCGUGGUCUAAGUUCCUUGGAACAGGACGUCACAGAGGGUGAGAAUCCCGUACGUGGCCGCCGGCCUUCGCCUUGUAAAGCCCCUUCGACGAGUCGAGUUGUUUGGGAAUGCAGCUCUAAAUGGGAGGUAAAUUUCUUCUAAAGCUAAAUACCCGCCAGAGACCGAUAGCGCACAAGUAGAGUGAUCGAAAGAUGAAAAGCACUUUGGAAAGAGAGUGAAAAAGCACGUGAAAUUGUUGAAAGGGAAGCGCUUGCGGCCAGACUUGCCCGCGGUUGAUCAUCCAGGCUCCGGCCUGGUGCACUCCUCCGCGGGCAGGCCAGCAUCAGUUCGGGCGGUCGGAUAAAGGCCUCUAUCACGUACCACCCCUCGGGGUGGCCUUAUAGGGGAGGCGCAACACGGCCAGCCCGGACUGAGGUUCCGCGCAUCUGCUAGGAUGCUGGCGUAAUGGCAGCAAGCGGCCCGUCUUGAAACACGGACCAAGGAGUCUAACAUCUAUGCGAGUGUUUGGGUGUCAAGCCCGAGCGCGCAAUGAAAGUGAACGGAGGUGGGAACCCUUACCGGUGCACCAUCGACCGAUCCUGAUGUCUUCGGAUGGAUUUGAGUAAGAGCAUAGCUGUUGGGACCCGAAAGAUGGUGAACUAUGCCUGAAUAGGGUGAAGCCAGAGGAAACUCUGGUGGAGGCUCGCAGCGGUUCUGACGUGCAAAUCGAUCGUCAAAUUUGGGCAUA